This 426-nucleotide ribosomal RNA is filed under the name Mycalesis mineus (dark-brand bushbrown). Its description in RNAcentral is "partial 28S ribosomal RNA". Lineage: Eukaryota; Metazoa; Arthropoda; Insecta; Lepidoptera; Nymphalidae. The record is from RNAcentral.
AAACCUGCGAAACUCGAAUGAACGAACGGAGAGAUUCAUCGACAACCGACGGCGCGCGGGCGUGCGCCUCGAUGUCGCGCCUGCCCCCCUCGUGGGUGCUGCGGCGCGGCACGGGUCGCGUCCGUCUAGUACCGUCGGCGUCGUGCACUUCUCUCUCAGUAAUGCAUCGCGACCCGUUCGACGUCGGCUUAAGCGCCGUCCGAUUCGCCCAGUGGUGGGCGACCACCGCUGGACCGUGACGGUGGCCGGCCGGCUGUCGGACGGUAUCGAAGUGAACCGCGCACGCGCCUCGCGCGCGUCCGGCCCGACGCAAGCUCGCGCCGUACAAACGGUCGCGGUCCUGCCUUAGCGCGGACCGCGACGCGGCGCCGCUGCUGUCGCAGCCGUGUUGUCUCGGACCGUGCGCGUCUCAGUCUGCGAUGAGUC